AAGUAAAGGAAAUAAUAUUGCAAAAAAAAUAUGAUACAAAUUAAGGAAAUAUACCAGUGUAGUAAUAGAGUUUACAAAAUUUAGUUUGUAAACUUUGUAACCAAAAAUCAAUGCGGUUAACUAUUUCCGAGAGCAAAUAGUUAUAUG
Molecule: non-coding RNA, 147 nt
Organism: Schizosaccharomyces pombe (fission yeast)
Lineage: Eukaryota; Fungi; Ascomycota; Schizosaccharomycetes; Schizosaccharomycetales; Schizosaccharomycetaceae
Source: the annotation of a GenBank genome assembly